RNAcentral lists this ribosomal RNA (323 nucleotides) under Candidatus Nanopelagicaceae bacterium. Its description in RNAcentral is "bacterial SSU rRNA". It matches the Rfam family "Bacterial small subunit ribosomal RNA", at positions 1 to 325 of the family's 1533-position model. The record is from RNAcentral. Lineage: Bacteria; Bacillati; Actinomycetota; Actinomycetes; Candidatus Nanopelagicales; Candidatus Nanopelagicaceae.
UUCAAUGGAGAGUUUGAUCCUGGCUCAGGACGAACGCUGGCGGCGUGCUUAACACAUGCAAGUCGAACGAUGAAGUUCCUUCGGGAAUGGAUUAGUGGCGAACGGGUGAGGAACACGUGAGAAACCUGCCUUUCAUUUUGGGAUAACUCCGGGAAACCGGGGCUAAUACCGAAUACUCCGUCUCGGCGGCAUCGCUGAGCCGGGAAAAAAUUUUGAUGAAAGAUGGUCUCGCGGCCUAUCAGCUAGUUGGUGAGGUAAUGGCUCACCAAGGCGACGACGGGUAGCCGGCCUGAGAGGGCGACCGGCCACACUGGGACUGAGAC